AUGCCUAGAUCCCGUGUAAAUGGAAAUUUCAUUGAUAAUACCUCCUCAAUUGUAGCCAAUACUUUAUUGUGAAUAAUUCCGACAACCUCAAGAGAAAAAAGGUUUACUUAUUAUAGAGAUGGUAUUUGAGUAUUGAGCGAACGGAAAUAUGCGGAAGCUUUGCAAAAUUAUUAUGAAGCUACGCAACUAGAAAUCGAUCCCUAUGAUUGAAGUUAUAUACUCUAUAACAUAGGCCUUAUACACACAAGCAAUGGAGAUCAUACAAAGGCUUUGGAAUAUUAUUUCUGGGCACUAGAACGAAACCCCUUCUUACUGCAAGCUUUUAAUAAUAUGGCCGUGAUAUGUCAUUAUGGAGAACAUGCCAUUCUACAGGGUGAUUCUGAAGUUGCGGAAGCUUGGUUUGAUCAAGCUACUGAAUAUUGGAAACAAGCUAUAGCGCUUACUUCGGGAAAUUAUAUUGAAGCACAGAACUGGUUGAAGAUUACGAAGCACUUUGAAUUUGAAUAA
RNAcentral lists this ribosomal RNA (507 nucleotides) under Triticum aestivum (bread wheat). Its description in RNAcentral is "partial small subunit ribosomal RNA". Lineage: Eukaryota; Viridiplantae; Streptophyta; Magnoliopsida; Poales; Poaceae. The record is from RNAcentral.